UGGGAAGAGCUCAAAUUUUAAAUCACCUGGGUUUCCUUGGUGAAUUGUAUUUUGAAGAAAGUGUUUUGACGUUCGGGUUCAAUUUAAAUCCUUUGGGAUAAGGUAUCAUAGAGGGUGAGAAUCCCGUUUAUGAUUGUUCCUUUGAAUGUCUGUAAUUCACUUUCUAA
This 167-nucleotide ribosomal RNA is filed under the name Acaulospora delicata. RNAcentral describes it as "partial large subunit ribosomal RNA". It matches the Rfam family "Eukaryotic large subunit ribosomal RNA", at positions 99 to 261 of the family's 3401-position model. The record is from RNAcentral. Lineage: Eukaryota; Fungi; Glomeromycota; Glomeromycetes; Diversisporales; Acaulosporaceae.